AUUGAACGCUGGCGGCAUGCCUUACACAUGCAAGUCGAACGGCAGCAUGACGUGUAGCAAUACACGUUGAUGGCGAGUGGCGAACGGGUGAGUAAUAUAUCGGAACAUGUCCCGUAGCGGGGGAUAGCCCGGCGAAAGCCGGAUUAAUACCGCAUACGCUCUACGGAGGAAAGCGGGGGUCGCAAGACCUCGCACUACGGGAGUGGCCGAUAUCGGAUUAGCUAGUUGGCGGGGUAAAAGCCCACCAAGGCGACGAUCCGUAGCUGGUCUGAGAGGAUGAUCAGCCACACUGGAACUGAGACACGGUCCAGACUCCUACGGGAGGCAGCAGUGGGGAAUUUUGGACAAUGGGCGCAAGCCUGAUCCAGCCAUGCCGCGUGAGUGAAGAAGG
This 391-nucleotide ribosomal RNA is filed under the name uncultured bacterium. RNAcentral's name for it is "bacterial SSU rRNA". It matches the Rfam family "Bacterial small subunit ribosomal RNA", at positions 30 to 414 of the family's 1533-position model. The record is from RNAcentral.